Molecule: ribosomal RNA, 500 nt
Filed under: uncultured bacterium
Lineage: Bacteria
Description: partial 16S ribosomal RNA
Rfam family: Bacterial small subunit ribosomal RNA
Source: RNAcentral
AUUGAACGCUGGCGGAAUGCUUUACACAUGCAAGUCGAACGGCAGCACGGACUUCGGUCUGGUGGCGAGUGGCGAACGGGUGAGUAAUACAUCGGAACGUGCCCAAUCGUGGGGGAUAACGUAGCGAAAGCUACGCUAAUACCGCAUACGAUCUAAGGAUGAAAGCGGGGGAUCGCAAGACCUCGCGCGAUUGGAGCGGCCGAUGGCAGAUUAGGUAGUUGGUAGGGUAAAGGCCUACCAAGCCGACGAUCUGUAGCUGGUCUGAGAGGAUGAUCAGCCACACUGGGACUGAGACACGGCCCAGACUCCUACGGGAGGCAGCAGUGGGGAAUUUUGGACAAUGGGCGAAAGCCUGAUUCAGCCAUUCCGCGUGAGUGAAGAAGGCCUUCGGGUUGUAAAGCUCUUUCGGCAGGAACGAAACGCUCUAGAUUAAUACCCUGGGGUAAUGACGGUACCUGAAGAAGAAGCACCGGCUAACUACGUGCCAGCCGCCGCGGUAA